AGCAGCCGCGGUAAUUCCAGCUCCAAUAGCGUAUAUUAAAGUUGUUGCAGUUAAAAAGCUCGUAGUUGAAUUUCGGGGUUAGUAGGUUGGUCAUGCCUCUGGUAUGUACUGGUCUCACUGAUUCCUCCUUCCCGAUGAACCUUAAUGCCAUUAAUUUGGUGUUUUGGGGAAUUUGGACUGUUACUUUGAAAAAAUUAGAGUGUUUAAAGCAAGCUAACGCUUGAAUACAUUAGCAUGGAAUAAUGAAAUAGGACGUUCGAUCCUAUUUUGUUGGUUUCUAGGAUUGACGUAAUGAUUAAUAGGGAUAGUUGGGGGCAUUAGUAUUCAAUUGUCAGAGGUGAAAUUCUUGGAUUUAUUGAAGACUAACUACUGCGAAAGCAUUUGCCAAGGAUGUUUUCAUUAAUCAAGAACGAAAGUUAGGGGAUCGAAGACGAUCAGAUACCGUCGUAGUCUUAACCAUAAACUAUGCCGACUAGGGAUCGGAUGAUGUUAAUUUUUUAAUGACUCA
This 508-nucleotide ribosomal RNA is filed under the name Glomus sp. MO-G13. Its description in RNAcentral is "SSU rRNA". It matches the Rfam family "Eukaryotic small subunit ribosomal RNA", at positions 569 to 1078 of the family's 1831-position model. The record is from RNAcentral. Lineage: Eukaryota; Fungi; Glomeromycota; Glomeromycetes; Glomerales; Glomeraceae.